ACACACACACACACACACACACACACACACACACACACACAUUUGCCCAUAUGCGUUGCGCUGUACAGAAUUAUCCAGUCAGCUGUGUCUCCUGGGCUGUUGCAGGUGUUUGGCGGGAAGUUUCUCAGGUCCUGGCUGGGAUUGAGUCGGGGAAAGGGAAUGCCAGUUAGCAAAUGGAAUUCUAAGGUCAUAAUCCACACACCUGAACAGACAUCCGUCUUUCCUUUCGUUCGGGAAACAUUUGACCCCAUGAUGAGCCAGACCCUGGAUAACUGAGACACAUCAACUCUCUUUUCAGGUUUGAAAUGCACAAUGAAGAGAAAUAAAAGCAGAAAGAUCUCCAGAAAGAAUCCAUGAUGAGAUUAAAGGUUUCACAGUCCAAGCUAAUGUCCAUGGAUACUUUCAUUGACCCAAGAACAUCGCAUUCCUGGCAAAAGAAGUGUGGCAACACUAAGGCAAGUAUCUGCUUGAACAGAAAGAUGAUACAGAAAUACAGGAUGCAGGAGGAAGGAUUAGGAAGGACCCAACAAACUUGAACCAGGCUGGAAAAACUGGAAAGAUUCUAACUUUGGCCACCUGGAAGAAAUCCCUCGUAAGCUUCAUUGGGAAAUGCUUGGCCCUGGUGGGAAAGAGGGUGAAGCAUAGAGGACUACUGGAUUAGAUGGAGAGAGUGCCUAGGCAUCUCCAUGGCCCCACUGAUGUUCAAAAAUUCCUCAAGACAGUGCUGAGCUACACAUGUGCACCUGGAAGAGGAAACACACUUGGACACUGAACUGCCAUGGGAGAGCAGCCUUACCAGGCCACAGAAGAGGACGAUGCAGCCACUUUUGAUGAGAACUGAUAGACUAAGAUCAGAAAGAAGAGGAGAACCUCCCCUAUCAGCGGACUUGGGGAGAAGCAUGCAUGCAGAAAGAGGAGGGUG
Psammomys obesus (fat sand rat) is the source of this 922-nucleotide long non-coding RNA. RefSeq lists it as uncharacterized. The transcript has 5 exons. Lineage: Eukaryota; Metazoa; Chordata; Mammalia; Rodentia; Muridae. The record is from RefSeq and is a predicted model, not a curated record.